Molecule: unclassified non-coding RNA, 200 nt
Filed under: Leotiomycetes sp.
Lineage: Eukaryota; Fungi; Ascomycota; Leotiomycetes
Description: partial internal transcribed spacer 2
Source: RNAcentral
UUAAGUUCAGCGGGUAUCCCUACCUGAUCCGAGGUCAACCGAAAGAGACAAUUAGGGGUUGUCUGGCAGGCACCGCCAAGUUUCCAGAGCGAGAGAUGUACUACGCUUGGAGCCUGCGACGGCACCGCCACUGAUUUUAAGACCGGCCAUCACGGCCAGGCCCAAGACAAGCAGAGCUUGAGGGUUGAAAUGACGCUCGA